AGAGGGCUGCUGAGGGGGCUUCCUCUCCUCUCCCUCGCGAUUAGUCGACACCCCCAACACCCCCCUCCUCCUCCUCCUCCUCCGCUCCCUCCCACGUCGUCCCAGGGAGUGGGCGCCAGGCGCGCGAGCCACCUUCCCCGCCAACCAGAGCCAGGCGCGCAGGCGAGGAGCUCGCGGCUCUUCCCCUCACGACUUCCUUCCACGGAGAAGAAGCCGCCGCCGCCGCCGCCUCUUUCCCGCCCCUCACGCGGCGCGCUCGGGGUCUCUCUCGCCGCCGGGGAAGCCCUGCAUGCUGCUGAAGCAGCUGCCGCUGCUGGUGGCCAGGGCGAGAGCCCCGUUGCUUCUUCGCCUCGCCUCGGCGCGCUCGCCUGCCCGGCAGCAGCAGCAGCACCUCAGCCCAGACGCGCCGCCGACGGGAGAGGCGAGGCGAGGAGGAGGAGGCGGCGGCGGCGGCGGGCCAGGGCGCUCCGGACCGGCGGAGGGAACCAUGAACAGCGCCAAAGGCGAGCAGGAGCACAGCCCCGCCGAGCCGAACCUGCAGGAGGAAGAGGUACGAACGCUAUUUGUCAGCGGCCUGCCUCUGGACAUCAAGCCCCGGGAACUCUAUUUGUUGUUCAGACCAUUCAAGGGUUAUGAAGGCUCUCUUAUUAAACUCACAUCUAAGCAGCCCGUGGGCUUCGUUAGUUUCGACAGUCGCUCAGAAGCAGAAGCUGCUAAGAAUGCUUUGAAUGGAAUCCGCUUUGACCCAGAAAUUCCCCAGACGCUCCGGCUAGAGUUCGCCAAGGCCAACACGAAGAUGGCCAAGAGCAAAUUAGUGGGGACACCAAAUCCAAGCACUCCUGCCACCCCCAACACUUUACCUCAGUUCAUUACCCGGGAGCCGUAUGCGCUGGCUCCCUCCCUCAGAGGCUACUUCUCAGGGCUGGAAGUCCCGUCAGUUCUGCUGAAUACUGUGUACCAGGUGUGUGAUGGCGGCUACAAUCUGUCUUGUGGGUAUUAAUGCGUUCUUCCUAAGUCGCUACUGGUAUCUUACCUCCAUCUUCAAAUUUGCAGUGUGGUGGGCUUGAAAAAACCUCACACAAGGUUGGAUUCCUUCAAGACUUUGCCACAGCCUCUAUCACACAUCUGCUCUUUUAGAAGUAAAGUAAAAAUACUGAGUAAUAAUAAUGUUUUCCUCUUCUAUGCUGUUUAAAAUUGUAAGGAAGAGUGCGAAUUCUAAAAAGCAUGGCUGAACAUCUGGUUUGAAAAAGUUAUUUUCAAACAAAGCAACAAAGAGAACCAAGUAUUUUUAUACUAAGCAUUUUAAGUAGAAAGAUCUUACGCUGGGUUGGAUCACUGAUUACGUUCUUGACUUUUUGAAUGCGUGUAAUUGAAAAUUUCUCUUUCCCUGUCCUUUUAAGCUGCAUGUUCAAGGCAUGUUUUUAAAUCUUGUUCAGAUUUUUAAAAAGUGUAUUGUUAAAUUGUAUGGACUCUUUGGCUAUCCUGACGGGGAACCUGAGAGGAUGUGUGUUGAACAUAUGAAGUAUUCCUGUGGUACGUGCUUCUCCCAGUUGUGCCAAAUUAUAUCAAGCAAGACAAUCAGAUAUGCAAAUGUCUUUGUAACUUUGGGAUAUAUUACCGUGUGCUGAGCAGUAUACUGGCAGUUCUGACAGCUGGUUUAUGCUGUAUUUUAUCUGUGGUCACAUAUUUUGAUAUAAAACUAUAUGGGGGAGAUGUGCUUUUUUUCUAUGGCUUUCUACUGUGCACUAAGACCAUUUUCAUAAUUGCAACAGCUAGAAAAAGUGCAGUCAUCACAAUAAAAUGACUGCAGCUACCUCUGCAUACUGUAUUCAUUCAGACACAUAGUUCCCAACAUGCCGUUGUGUAACCAGUAGGAUUCCUUGGUAGAAAAGGAAAAGCAUCUAGUUGGGUUAUGGGAACCCGUCUUGAAUGGCAGAGCCACAGAGGAAAUGUCUUCUGUAAAGUAGGUUCAUAGCAUUCCUAGUCUACUUGUUUUAAAAGAAAUAAGGGUACAUUUGCAUGCCUUUGCUCCAUGUACAGGAAGGAUUGGUUCUGCUAAGGUGGUGGUGCUGCUGUCUGUGAAGCUGACUGAAACAUUGAGCAGUAAAGCUUAAGUUCAUUUCAUGCCAUUAUCCCAUAUGCAUGCAGAAAACCAAAGGCCUUCUGUCACUGGAUCCAGAUCUAAGGCUCUUCUUCUGUACAGAUUUUCUAGGAAGUGCCAAACUUGGAUACAACAGUUGACCUUCCAAUGUCGCCACUAACAUCCUCCAUGUGUGUGCAAGGCUGCCAGGUUGUGUGAAACUCACAUAAAAAGAGCCAACUCAGCGCCAUUGUUCUAUUAGUUUGAUGUCUGCCCUCUGUCUAUACAUAGACAUUUCUGGGAUAGAGGAAUUCAGCAGCCCCUGUGUACCUACUUUUGUAUAAAGUGUCGCUCCACCAGUGCCAAGAUGAAUGCCAGGAUCCCUUGAGGUAUUGGGAGAGAGUACCAGUUUGAUUUUGCAUGUGAUCGUCUCUCUUACUGAACAACUACUUGGAUUGCUUGUGCCGUCAACUGGGGUGUGGACACAAUGGAUUCGAUUAGUCAUCUGCCUUCUCAAGCCUGAUUCAUGCCACCAUUUUCAGGUGUGAUAUGUGGGUUGAGUGAAUGCAGCUUGUACGCUGUCCUCUGACCUGCUAAUGAAGUUGGUUACAUGAUUUAGGCACUAUUGGACAACCUUCCUGUAAAUCAGUCAAUCAGGAUAUCUGUCUGUAGUGUUGUAACAAAGACAGUUGCUUCACAAAAGGCAGAGAAGUAAAAAAAUAAAUAAAUUAGAAUUGACCUUGUCGUCAAAAGAUGAUUAUGUGAACCAGUCCCUCUGAGUACCAUGAUGAUGUGGAGAGAAGGCCAGGGCCCCUGGAUCAUUUAUUGGUGUAGAAGACAAAACUUCCAACAGAUGAGCUUCCUUCUUUCCUGAAUGAUAUGCUCCACAUGCCAGAUUCUUGCUUCCUAUCCUCCUUUGCAAUCUAGUCAUGAUACAGCUAUACGAUUACUUCCAUAACAAUACUGGUAGUUCUGACUAAACAAGGAAACUGUUUUAAUACGGUUAAAUAUUUCCAAAUGGGCUUCCCCAAGUAUUGUUAAAUCUCCUGAGAACAAAUGACUUCAUUGUCUUAAAGAGAAUGCAGUAUUUUGCAGGGAAGACAAGUGACAAAUGUCAAGCAGUCAGAGGCUUUAAAAUUGCAGGGGAAAGGGGGUAGGUAAAAACCUAUUCUUAAAACUAAAUGGAAGACUUGAGAACAGAAUUAAAAUGUGACAGCGGGUGGCUGAAUAACAGAAUUGUGUCGGACUUUGUCAGCAAAAAACUUGAUUUUUCCAUAUCUCCUCCUAUUGGCAAUAGCAGAAACAGAAGAUGCUUCCAAUUUAUGGUUUUGUUUUUUUAAAAAAAAUGUUGUUAAAGGUACUUUUCUAUUGUAAUUUUCUAAAAAUAAAGAAACUAUGAUUAUAACUUA
Podarcis raffonei (Aeolian wall lizard) is the source of this 3489-nucleotide RNA transcript. It is a transcript of the gene named RNA binding protein, mRNA processing factor, with no coding region annotated. The record is from RefSeq and is a predicted model, not a curated record. Lineage: Eukaryota; Metazoa; Chordata; Lepidosauria; Squamata; Lacertidae. The transcript is spliced from 8 exons.